GCGGGUGUAAUUCAGUGGUAGAAUGGCAGCUUCCCAAGCUGCAUAUGGCGGUUCGAUUCCGCUCACCCGCU
RNAcentral lists this transfer RNA (71 nucleotides) under Candidatus Omnitrophota bacterium. RNAcentral describes it as "Candidatus Omnitrophica bacterium tRNA-Gly". It matches the Rfam family "tRNA". From Rfam's summary of the family: Transfer RNA (tRNA) molecules are approximately 80 nucleotides in length. Lineage: Bacteria; Pseudomonadati; Candidatus Omnitrophota. The record is from RNAcentral.